RNAcentral lists this ribosomal RNA (576 nucleotides) under uncultured eukaryote. RNAcentral describes it as "SSU rRNA". It matches the Rfam family "Eukaryotic small subunit ribosomal RNA", at positions 174 to 757 of the family's 1831-position model. The record is from RNAcentral.
UAAAAACCCCGACUUCGGAAGGGGUGUAUUUAUUAGAUACAAAACCAAUGCCCUUCGGGGCUCUUUGGUGAUUCAUGAUAACUAUACGAAUCGCACGGCCUUGCGCCGGCGAUGGUUCAUUCAAAUUUCUUCCCUAUCAACUUUCGAUGUUUGGGUAUUGGCCAAACAUGGUUGCAACGGGUAACGGAGGGUUAGGGCUCGACCCCGGAGAAGGAGCCUGAGAAACGGCUACUACAUCCAAGGAAGGCAGCAGGCGCGCAAAUUACCCAAUCCCGACUCGGGGAGGUAGUGACAAUAAAUACUGAUACAGGGCCCUUUCGGGCCUUGUAAUUGGAAUGAGUACAAUUUAAAUCCCUUAACGAGGAACAAUUGGAGGGCAAGUCUGGUGCCAGCAGCCGCGGUAAUUCCAGCUCCAAUAGCGUAUAUUAAAGUUGUUGUGGUUAAAAAGCUCGUAAUUGGACCUUGGGCCUGGCUGGCCGGUCCGCCUCACCGCGUGCACGGGUGCGGCCGGGCCUUUCCAUCUGUGGAACCCCAUACGCUUCACGGGGGCGUGGCGGGGAAACAUGACAUUUUCAU